This 445-nucleotide ribosomal RNA is filed under the name Pseudomonas aeruginosa. RNAcentral's name for it is "bacterial SSU rRNA". It matches the Rfam family "Bacterial small subunit ribosomal RNA", at positions 12 to 459 of the family's 1533-position model. Lineage: Bacteria; Pseudomonadati; Pseudomonadota; Gammaproteobacteria; Pseudomonadales; Pseudomonadaceae. The record is from RNAcentral.
UUUGAUCAUGGCUCAGAUUGAACGCUGGCGGCAGGCCUAACACAUGCAAGUCGAGCGGAUGAAGGGAGCUUGCUCCUGGAUUCAGCGGCGGACGGGUGAGUAAUGCCUAGGAAUCUGCCUGGUAGUGGGGGAUAACGUCCGGAAACGGGCGCUAAUACCGCAUACGUCCUGAGGGAGAAAGUGGGGGUUCUUCGGACCUCACGCUAUCAGAUGAGCCUAGGUCGGAUUAGCUAGUUGGUGGGGUAAAGGCCUACCAAGGCGACGAUCCGUAACUGGUCUGAGAGGAUGAUCAGUCACACUGGAACUGAGACACGGUCCAGACUCCUACGGGAGGCAGCAGUGGGGAAUAUUGGACAAUGGGCGAAAGCCUGAUCCAGCCAUGCCGCGUGUGUGAAGAAGGUCUUCGGAUUGUAAAGCACUUUAAGUUGGGAGGAAGGGCAGUAAG